This 2055-nucleotide long non-coding RNA is filed under the name Sus scrofa (pig). RNAcentral describes it as "lncRNA (ENSSSCG00040008947.1)". The record is from RNAcentral. Lineage: Eukaryota; Metazoa; Chordata; Mammalia; Artiodactyla; Suidae.
AGGCACAAGCGGCUCUCUGUAAAUAAAUAAGUGAACUAAUUGGUUGGUUAAUUCUAAACAGAUCAUAAAUGCUCCACUUGUUUCUCAAUCACACUGAUCACUCCAGGAAGAUUAUUAAGCAAUUGUUUUGCAUACUGCAAUAAGACAGACGGAGAGAGGAGAGAGAAGGACAGACAGAGAGACUGCUCAAAUAAAAACAUGGGGAAAGACGGUGUGUAAUGUGAGUAGAUCCUAAUGAAGAAAGUCUCCCAACCACCAUGUCUGAUUCUGAUCAAACCUGAGGUUCUCUACACACCUGCACGACUAGAGGAUGAGAAGAUCCAAGUAAGAUCUUACUCUACCCUGGCACCAUUCUAGGAAUUGAAGAUAUGAUGGUAGACAAGACACAUGGGGUCCCUGCCUUUAUGGAGCCGAGAAGCCAGUGCAGAUGACAGACAGUAAUGGGUGAACAAAGAGGAACAUAUGAAUUCACACGAGAUGGAGAAAAUUGUGCCCAGUGGGGCUGUGGAAAGGUUGGAUAGAGGCUGGGGAUUACCAGACAAUAAGAGGAUGGUGGCCCUCUUAGAGGAGAUAAAAGAUCAGCAGCAAUAUGAACAAGGAGAAGGAGAGGAAACACUGGAGGAUUUCUAGGGAGAAAAAUCAGCAAGUGCUGAAAUCGAUGUGGCCAUGAGUUUGGUGUCUUAGAAACUGCACGGCUAGAAAGGAAUGAGCAAGGACAUGAUGAAGAUGAACUAGAGGGUUCUUUGGGGGCCAGAUCAUGAAGUACCGGGAAAGACAUGGCAAAGACCUUUGAUUUUAUUUUUAACUGUUAUGGGAAGCUAGUGAAUCAUUUAAAUGGAGGAGUAACAUUCUGAUUUGUCAGUUAAAAUAUCACACUGGCUACUGUUAGGAGAAUAGAUUGGUGAGGGGCAUAAGUAGAAACAGUCAGGCAAAUACAAGAUGUGUUGAGCAAUGUUCAUACCUACCCAAAUCACGUCUCCUUUCUUACACAGUAAAAAAUUCAGUGCUUCUUCUGGUCAGUCCUGUGACUGCCUAGAAAAGGGUAUUUAAUCUUCUGUCCUUCAAGAAGGAGUCGCUGGUGGGGUGUAAUCAGAAGCUGGAGAGGGAGUCAGAGUCCCGUUGGCCCUUGCUCUUUCCUCCUGUCUGUGGUCAGGGGUGUGACCAUGAUGGCCAACCAGUGAUAUCGGCGUCUUGGGCCAUGGGGUUACUCUAGGAAUGCAGAGCAAGAAGGUAGAAGGAUGGGAUUCUGUGUGGAAGAAUACAGGCAAACCUCACUUCAUUGGGCUUUGCUUUAUCUUGCUUCAAACAUAUUGCACUUUAUACAAAUUGAAGUUUUGCAACAACCCUGCAUUGGGCAAGACUAUUGGGUGACAUUUAUUCAACAGCAUUUGCUCACUUCAUGUCUCUAUGUCACAUUUUGAUAAUUUAAAAAUAUUCCAAGCUUUUUCAUUAUUAUUAUAUUUGUUUUGGUGAUUUGUGAUCAGCCAUCUUUGAUGUUAUUGUUGUAAUACUUUUGGUAUUUUUAGCAACAAAGUAUUUUUAACUAAGAUAUAUACAUUGCUUCUUAGACAUAAUGCUAUUGCACACUUAAGAGACUACACUGUAGUAUCAACAUAACUUUUUUAUGCACUGGGAAACCAGAACUUUCAUGUGACUCGCUUUAUUGCAUAUUCGCUUUAUUGUAAUGGUCUGGAAAAGAACCCACACUGCCUUGGAUGAAAACCUGUAAAUUUCUGUUUUGUUUAAGCCACUGACAUUUGGGGGUUUAGGUUAGGCAAAUCUAACUCCAACUAAUUCGGUAGACAACCAUGGCUUAAUGAGACCCCAAAAAUGUUUGACUUGGGUAUAGUGUAGAAGGUGGGAUUUGUUGGGUAGCAAAGUAUAUUUUUAAAGUGGAAUCAUGAGUAUUUACUGAUCUGAAUUUUCUGGAUGAAUGUGGAAGAUGAGAGAAAGAGAGGAACCAAGGAUGGCUUCCAGGAUUUUUGCCUUGGUAACUGGAAAGUGGAUAAUAAAACAAGCUCCUGGUGUAGGAUUACAAGGGGGCAGAGUUCUAAU